Molecule: long non-coding RNA, 188 nt
Organism: Medicago truncatula (barrel medic)
Lineage: Eukaryota; Viridiplantae; Streptophyta; Magnoliopsida; Fabales; Fabaceae
Exons: 3
Source: RefSeq, a predicted model, not a curated record
UUUUUUUUCUUAUGAUCUAGGUUUAUCGUCUCACUCUAUUUGCUUCUAUCAUUCAAGUUCGUUUUGAAAAGAUGAAGUUAGUCACCGAUUGAUCAAAACUUAGUACUUGUAGAUAAGGAGGAAGUUGAGUUUAUCACUGAUUGACAAAAAGGCUUAGAUAGUUUGUAACUUGAAAGAUGGAUCAAGGG